Molecule: small nuclear RNA, 140 nt
Organism: Colobus angolensis palliatus
Lineage: Eukaryota; Metazoa; Chordata; Mammalia; Primates; Cercopithecidae
Gene: U4
Rfam family: U4 spliceosomal RNA
About the family: U4 small nuclear RNA (U4 snRNA) is a component of the major U2-dependent spliceosome. The structure of U4 snRNA from yeast and human has been reported.
Source: Ensembl
AGCUUUGCACAGUGGCAGUCUCAUAGCCAAUGAGGUUUAUUUGAGGCACGAUUACUGCUAAUUAAAAACUUUUCCCUAGAUCUAGAUCCUUGAGGAAUCGCCAUACUGUUUUCCAUAAUGGUUGAACUAGUUUACAAUCC